Trachemys scripta elegans is the source of this 1011-nucleotide long non-coding RNA. RefSeq lists it as uncharacterized. The transcript is spliced from 2 exons. The record is from RefSeq and is a predicted model, not a curated record. NCBI's taxonomy places the organism in Eukaryota, Metazoa, Chordata, Testudines, Emydidae.
CACUGAAAGAAUAAGAACAUGAACAUAAGGCAGAAAGUCUCCUGGGCUACCGUCUGCAUCCCACAACUGGGAUGGGAGAAAACACCCAGAAGGGCUUUGGAAACUGGCUUCCCCAUCGUGGUCGCAGAGAGCAUCAGGGAGAUACUGCUGCGCACUUUUUUCUGCAUGGAUGGCUAUGGCCCUGCUAAGUGAUUGAAGCUCCUUUCAAAUAUUUCUUCCCCUUCCUCUUAUCAUGUCCUACAACAUGCAAUGCUGCAUCACCAUGUGACCUCAAGACCCAUCCCAAUGGCAAGCAGAACUGAUGAGCUUCCUCCUCCUCCUCAUGUUGUUCUAUGUUAGCCGCCAAAAGCAAGAGGACUGUGGACUCAAGGCAGAGGAGAAACCUGCAAUUUGUGAGCAAGGAAGGAGGCAUAAAAACUGCAAGGGGGAAGUUCACACACACACACACACACACACACACACACCAGGAUGCUGAACUGUUGAGCAAGAAUGCAACAAGACAGCAGAAGCAUGGGAAAGUUCCUAGAGGAGACAAGUGGCCAUGUGACAAGCCCAAAAGCUGUUUAAACUGAAACCUGGAUGCCACACAAUACACAGCUGGGACCAAAUCCUUGAUUCAGGAAAGCAUCUCUAUUCAGGAUAGUGUUUAAGUGUAUGCUUCAACGUGUCUUAAGCACGUGAUUAAAGUCCUAUUGUCUUCCAGAAGUUCAGCAUGUGCUUCAGUGCUUUCCUGACCCAGCAUCCAACUGAGUAGACCUUUCCCAGCAUCAGACCAUUUUCACUUGUGAAUUCAGACUAUUACCAGCAUGUAACGAUUGGUUGAGAAACACAGUCAUGCCAACCUGUGCUCAUUUACGAUCAGAUAGUACAUCUUAACCACAAUGUGCUGGCUAACUUUCCCAAGGCAGACAAUUCCCACACCAAAAUCCCCCUGACCAAAAUCCCCUCAUGCAGUUUCAAUCAGAGACUAUUUCACUAUUAUUGAUGUAAUAAAAAAAAAAAAAAAAAAAA